UUACAUCCUACAGGACUCGAACCUGUAAUUUUCGGCUUAGAAGGCCGUUGCCUUAUCCAAUUUAGCUAAGGAUGC
RNAcentral lists this transfer RNA (75 nucleotides) under Heterosigma akashiwo. RNAcentral describes it as "tRNA-Arg". Lineage: Eukaryota; Raphidophyceae; Chattonellales; Chattonellaceae. The record is from RNAcentral.